Molecule: ribosomal RNA, 634 nt
Filed under: uncultured fungus
Lineage: Eukaryota; Fungi
Description: eukaryotic LSU rRNA
Rfam family: 5.8S ribosomal RNA (bases 210-363)
Source: RNAcentral
UCGUAACAAGGUUUCCGUAGGUGAACCUGCGGAAGGAUCAUUAGUGAAUUAAACAUGCUUGGUGUCUUCGCUUCGGCAAGGCCCUUGCGUAACUCACAUCCCAACACCUGUGAACUGUAAGGCGUACGAUGAGGCUUCGGCUCAAUCGUCGUCUGCCCUUUUUAACAAACGAUCAAUGUAACAAACGUAGUCUUAUUAUAACCUAAUAAAACUUUCAACAACGGAUCUCUUGGCUCUCGCAUCGAUGAAGAACGCAGCGAAAUGCGAUAAGUAAUGUGAAUUGCAGAUUUCAGUGAAUCAUCGAAUCUUUGAACGCACCUUGCGCUCUUUGGUAUUCCGAAGAGCAUGCCUGUUUGAGUGUCAUGAAAAUAUCAACCUUGACUUGGGUUUUGUGCUCGAGGCUAGGCUUGGAUGUGGGUGCUUGCCGCUUUAAUGCGUGGCUCACCUUAAAUGUAUUAGCUGGAUCAGUCUUUGAGACUUGGUUUGACUUGGCGUAAUAAGUAUUUCGCUAAGGACAUUCUUCGGAGUGGCCUCGUUUCUGGGACACCUGUCCGCUUUCCAAUACAAGUUCCAGAAAUGGACAUGACUUUUUAUCAUCUGGCCUCAAAUCAGGUAGGACUACCCGCUGAACUUA